Molecule: ribosomal RNA, 216 nt
Filed under: uncultured bacterium
Lineage: Bacteria
Description: partial 16S ribosomal RNA
Rfam family: Bacterial small subunit ribosomal RNA
Source: RNAcentral
UGAGCAACCUACCGAACUGUGGGGGAUAGCCGGCCUAACGGCCGAGUAAUACCGCAUACGCUCUCAGUGAGGCAUUUCAUUGAGAGGAAACCUACGGGACAGAUCGAGGGGCUCGCGGCCUAUCAGCUAGUUGGCGAGGUAACGGCUCACCAAGGCAACGACGGGUAGCUGGUCUGAGAGGAUGGCCAGCCACAUUGGGACUGAGAAACGGCCCAG